This 254-nucleotide ribosomal RNA is filed under the name uncultured bacterium. RNAcentral's name for it is "partial 16S ribosomal RNA". It matches the Rfam family "Bacterial small subunit ribosomal RNA", at positions 524 to 776 of the family's 1533-position model. The record is from RNAcentral.
CACGUAGGGGGCGAGCGUUGUCCGGAAUCAUUGGGCGUAAAGAGCUCGUAGGCGGCUCAGUAAGUCGGGUGUGAAACCCCCAGGCUCAACCUGGGGACGCCACCCGAUACUGCUGUGGCUAGAGUCCAGUAGGGGAGUGUGGAAUUCCCGGUGUAGCGGUGAAAUGCGCAGAUAUCAGGAAGAACACCUAUGGCGAAAGCAGCUCUCUGGGACGGUACUGACGCUGAGACGCGAAAGCGUGGGGAGCGAACAGG